Molecule: non-coding RNA, 120 nt
Organism: Picea glauca (white spruce)
Lineage: Eukaryota; Viridiplantae; Streptophyta; Pinopsida; Pinales; Pinaceae
Source: Rfam
UAAUGUAAUCCUACAAGAUUAAUGCACCAGAUCCCAUCAAAACUCCAUAGUUAAAUGCACUUGGGCUAGAUUAGUACUGGGAUGGAUGACCUUUCGAGAAGUCCUAGUUUUUUUCAAGCC